UCCUGUCUACAUCUCUCUCCCUCUCCCUCUCUCUCUCUCUCUCUCUCUCAGGUUUUUAAUCUGUACCUUCCCACACAAGUCCCUUGGAAUGUCCAGACACUGCCACGACCAAGGAUUCCACGGGUCACCAUGGAGACCAAGGAUUCCUGAGGUCGAGGGCAGGGCAGUCCCAGCCCCCUGAAACAUGAAGAAAAAGGGGCCCGAGAAAAAACAACACAGAGGAGAGAAUCUGUUCCAACAUGCAGAGCGAGAGAAAAACAGGGUCGACACAAACACACGAUUCUCCUCAAACACGAUGGCUGAGCUUUGGCUCCUGGCCUCACCAGAGACGCAUCAUGUUGACGGGUUUAUUCCCCUGGCGGCCAGUGAUUCUGAGCGCAACACCGUAGUGCUGCGUGUCACAGUCCAAACCUCGAUCCACAAGUCUGCCAGAUGCAUCACAGUGACCGUUUUAUUUACCUAACUUAUUCACAGGAACUGACUGUACAGGGACACCACUAUUACUCUCUGAGAAAUACAGCGAAGUAGAAAACCCCACCCUGUUGUCUUAUCCAAACGAGAUAACAUACCGCACAUUACUGAGGAAAACAGUUGACCAGAAGAAAAUGUUGAAAAUGAAAACGUUGUGGUGUGUGUUCUCCUCAAAACCACAUACUAUGUUAAAGUUUGCCAAAUUGUUCUGUUAAGGAAGUUUGUUUUUAUUGUUGUGCGUAUGGUGUGUGGUCUGAGGUAACAUCUAGAAUGGUGUGUUGGUAUAUGCUGUCUAUGCAGGUGUUAUUGUAUGGUAUAAUAUGUCCGUGUGAUGUAUCUGUAUGCCUAAUGUUUUUAGUUACAUUUGCUCUGCUUGUAAAAUUGAAUUAUUGAACCUCACAUGACAGAUUUAUUGAAUGUUGUGAAAACCAAGA
Molecule: long non-coding RNA, 905 nt
Organism: Oncorhynchus masou masou (cherry salmon)
Lineage: Eukaryota; Metazoa; Chordata; Actinopteri; Salmoniformes; Salmonidae
Exons: 3
Source: RefSeq, a predicted model, not a curated record